GACGAACGCUGGCGGCGUGCUUAACACAUGCAAGUCGAACGCUGAAGACCUGGCUUUUGUUGGGUUGGAUGAGUGGCGAACGGGUGAGUAACACGUGAGUAACCUGCCCUCUUCUUUGGGAUAACGCCCGGAAACGGGUGCUAAUACUGGAUAUUCACUGAUCUUCGCAUGGGGGUUGGUGGCAAGGUUUGUUCUGGUGGGGGAUGGGCUCGCGGCCUAUCAGCUUGUUGGUGGGGUGAUGGCCUACCAAGGCUUUGACGGGUAGCCGGCCUGAGAGGGUGACCGGUCACAUUGGGACUGAGAUACGGCCCAGACUCCUACGGGAGGCAGCAGUGGGGAAUAUUGCACAAUGGGCGAAAGCCUGAUGCAGCGACGCCGCGUGAGGGAUGGAGGCCUUCGGGUUGUAAACCUCUUUCGCUCAUGGUCAAGCCGCAACUGUGGGUUGUGGUGAGGGUAGUGGGUAAAGAAGCGCCGGCUAACUACGUG
Molecule: ribosomal RNA, 486 nt
Filed under: uncultured bacterium
Lineage: Bacteria
Description: partial 16S ribosomal RNA
Rfam family: Bacterial small subunit ribosomal RNA
Source: RNAcentral